RNAcentral lists this ribosomal RNA (497 nucleotides) under uncultured bacterium. RNAcentral describes it as "partial 16S ribosomal RNA". It matches the Rfam family "Bacterial small subunit ribosomal RNA", at positions 28 to 507 of the family's 1533-position model. The record is from RNAcentral.
GACGAACGCUGGCGGCGUGCCUAAUGCAUGCAAGUUGAGCGCUGAAGGUUGGUACUUGUACCAACUGGAUGAGCAGCGAACGGGUGAGUAACGCGUGGGGAAUCUGCCUUUGAGCGGGGGACAACAUUUGGAAACGAAUGCUAAUACCGCAUAAAAACUUUAAACACAAGUUUUAAGUUUGAAAGAUGCAAUUGCAUCACUCAAAGAUGAUCCCGCGUUGUAUUAGCUAGUUGGUGAGGUAAAGGCUCACCAAGGCGAUGAUACAUAGCCGACCUGAGAGGGUGAUCGGCCACAUUGGGACUGAGACACGGCCCAAACUCCUACGGGAGGCAGCAGUAGGGAAUCUUCGGCAAUGGACGAAAGUCUGACCGAGCAACGCCGCGUGAGUGAAGAAGGUUUUCGGAUCGUAAAACUCUGUCGGUAGAGAAGAACGUUGGUGAGAGUGGAAAGCUCAUCAAGUGACGGUAACUACCCAGAAAGGGACGGCUAACUACGUG